Molecule: ribosomal RNA, 628 nt
Filed under: Salmonella enterica
Lineage: Bacteria; Pseudomonadati; Pseudomonadota; Gammaproteobacteria; Enterobacterales; Enterobacteriaceae
Description: partial 23S ribosomal RNA
Rfam family: Bacterial large subunit ribosomal RNA
Source: RNAcentral
ACCCUUUAAUGUUUGAUGUUCUAACGUGGACCCGUGAUCCGGGUUGCGGACAGUGUCUGGUGGGUAGUUUGACUGGGGCGGUCUCCUCCUAAAGAGUAACGGAGGAGCACGAAGGUUGGCUAAUCCUGGUCGGACAUCAGGAGGUUAGUGCAAUGGCAUAAGCCAGCUUGACUGCGAGCGUGACGGCGCGAGCAGGUGCGAAAGCAGGUCAUAGUGAUCCGGUGGUUCUGAAUGGAAGGGCCAUCGCUCAACGGAUAAAAGGUACUCCGGGGAUAACAGGCUGAUACCGCCCAAGAGUUCAUAUCGACGGCGGUGUUUGGCACCUCGAUGUCGGCUCAUCACAUCCUGGGGCUGAAGUAGGUCCCAAGGGUAUGGCUGUUCGCCAUUUAAAGUGGUACGCGAGCUGGGUUUAGAACGUCGUGAGACAGUUCGGUCCCUAUCUGCCGUGGGCGCUGGAGAACUGAGGGGGGCUGCUCCUAGUACGAGAGGACCGGAGUGGACGCAUCACUGGUGUUCGGGUUGUCAUGCCAAUGGCACUGCCCGGUAGCUAAAUGCGGAAGAGAUAAGUGCUGAAAGCAUCUAAGCACGAAACUUGCCCCGAGAUGAGUUCUCCCUGAGACUUAGAGUC